This 67-nucleotide transfer RNA is filed under the name Cryptotympana facialis. RNAcentral's name for it is "tRNA-Ser". The record is from RNAcentral. Lineage: Eukaryota; Metazoa; Arthropoda; Insecta; Hemiptera; Cicadidae.
AGUUAAUUAGCUUUACCAAGUAUAUAUUUUGAAAAUAUAUGAAAGGGUUUGUUAAUCCUAUUAACUU